GUGGGGAAUAUUGGACAAUGGGGGGAACCCUGAUCCAGCCAUGCCGCGUGUGUGAAGAAGGCCUUUUGGUUGUAAAGCACUUUAAGCGAGGAGGAGGCUACCGAGAUUAAUACUCUUGGAUAGUGGACGUUACUCGCAGAAUAAGCACCGGCUAACUCUGUGCCAGCAGCCGCGGUAAUACAGAGGGUGCAAGCGUUAAUCGGAUUUACUGGGCGUAAAGCGCGCGUAGGUGGCCAAUUAAGUCAAAUGUGAAAUCCCCGAGCUUAACUUGGGAAUUGCAUUCGAUACUGGUUGGCUAGAGUAUGGGAGAGGAUGGUAGAAUUCCAGGUGUAGCGGUGAAAUGCGUAGAGAUCUGGAGGAAUACCGAUGGCAGGCAGCCAUCUGGCCUAAUACUGACACUGAGGUGCGAAAGCAUGGGGAGCAAACAGGAUUAGAAACCCUGGUAGUCC
RNAcentral lists this ribosomal RNA (449 nucleotides) under uncultured bacterium. RNAcentral describes it as "partial 16S ribosomal RNA". It matches the Rfam family "Bacterial small subunit ribosomal RNA", at positions 354 to 796 of the family's 1533-position model. The record is from RNAcentral.